GACGAACGCUGGCGGCGUGCUUAACACAUGCAAGUCGAACGCUGAAGCUCAGCUUGCUGGGUGGAUGAGUGGCGAACGGGUGAGUAACACGUGAGUAACCUGCCCUCUUCUUUGGGAUAACGCCCGGAAACGGGUGCUAAUACUGGAUAUUCACUGAUUCUCGCAUGGGGGUUGGUGGAAAGGUUUUUUCUGGUGGGGGAUGGGCUCGCGGCCUAUCAGCUUGUUGGUGGGGUGAUGGCCUACCAAGGCUUUGACGGGUAGCCGGCCUGAGAGGGUGACCGGUCACAUUGGGACUGAGAUACGGCCCAGACUCCUACGGGAGGCAGCAGUGGGGAAUAUUGCACAAUGGGCGAAAGCCUGAUGCAGCGACGCCGCGUGAGGGAUGGAGGCCUUCGGGUGGUAAACCUCUUUCGCUCAUGGUCAAGCCGCAGCUUUGGGUUGUGGUGAGGGUAGUGGGUAAAGAAGCGCCGGCUAACUACGUG
This 482-nucleotide ribosomal RNA is filed under the name uncultured bacterium. RNAcentral describes it as "partial 16S ribosomal RNA". It matches the Rfam family "Bacterial small subunit ribosomal RNA", at positions 28 to 507 of the family's 1533-position model. The record is from RNAcentral.